Molecule: non-coding RNA, 119 nt
Organism: Picea glauca (white spruce)
Lineage: Eukaryota; Viridiplantae; Streptophyta; Pinopsida; Pinales; Pinaceae
Source: Rfam
GGGUGCGAUCAUACCAACCUUAAUGCAUCGGAUCCCAUCAGAACUCCGCAGUUAAGCGCGUUUGAGCUAGAGUAGUACUGGGAUGGGUGACCUCUCGGGAAGUCCUAGUGUUGCACCCU